CUAGUUCUGUAGCCUGACGGAGUUUACAGAGGGGGAAAAAGGUAGCCUAGUGUUGGCCACUCAUUUUGGAAUAGUGGAUUUUCGUCCGUUUGACACCAGUGAUGCCCUUCAAAGAUGACAAAGCACUUGAUGCGAGAAAGAUAAGACAUUUUUUUUAAAGAAGCAACAUUCUGAAGAGACAGUGUAGGGAUGCUUGAGCGUUGUCACAGCGACACAUCUUGCUAGGACAAUGUGCACGCGCCCCGCCGGGAGAGAGGAGGGAGCGUGAGCGAGCGAAAGGGGCAAUCGCACAAGCGCAGCAUAUUUUAAGUCUAUACCAGUCGGAGGAGAAUCACGGAAACCGUGGAACGCUGUUACCCAGCGACGAAGCAGGCAAGCACCACCAAAUCGUCCAAGGAAUGGUGUGACAACGGUGUAGAAGUCAAAGACGAGGGCAAAAUCAAAGGAUUCCUUUUGAAAAACCCUUGGAAUCCUGCGAUCCCCUUGGAACACAUAACAGUGUCCUGAGAGUGUGAAGAGUCUGCUACUGUACCAUGGACGGAUGGCAGGAGGCUGACUCAGACUGUUGGCUAGACUGGCCAGUUUCUACUCAACCAACAGACCUUCCGCUCGUCUCCACCAAAACAUGGCGCGUCAUCUGUCC
Long non-coding RNA from Oncorhynchus tshawytscha (Chinook salmon), 643 nucleotides. Lineage: Eukaryota; Metazoa; Chordata; Actinopteri; Salmoniformes; Salmonidae. The record is from Ensembl.